CAAGAUGUAUUUUUAAAAGAAAAAUUCUAAUUCUACAAAAGUCCUCCUGAUACCCAGACCCAAGAGGUUACAAGUAAACUAUAUAUACUCGUAAACAGAUGCAAAAAUUCUUAACAAAAUUCCAAAAUUUAUAUGGAGAUGCAAAGGACCUAGAACAACCAAAACAACAUUGAGAGUGAAGAGCAAAGUUGGAAAAUUUACACUAAAUUACCUGAUUCCAAUAUUUACUAUAAAGCCACAUUAACCCAGAAGCCAUUUUGUGGAUGGGAAGCAGUAUUUUGUGCUCUACAAUGAUUUGCUUUUGAACUAUCAAUGAAAAGGUUAAAACAAUAAAAAGACCCUGGUUCUCUGGUUUCUUGGAGAUUCUGUGAGCUAUCACUAUUCCUUCAGAUCUAUUCCUUCAGACAGAAGAAGAAGAAGAAGAAGAAGAAGAAGAAGAAGACGACGAAGACGAAGACGAAAACAAAAGAAUGGAAGCAGAAGAAAGAAACCUUCCUGUAAAGGGCAGAGACUUAAGGUGUGGACAUCUGAAAGUAGCAUCAUGUAGAAAAUUCAGGAUGAGACUGGUGGGCCUAAAAUUCUGCCCAUUAAUUAGGUUCUGAGAAUGUAGAGGCUGCUUUGGAAAACCAAAACUCUAUUACUAAUCCA
This is a long non-coding RNA of Hyaena hyaena (striped hyena), 648 nucleotides long. RefSeq lists it as uncharacterized. The transcript has 3 exons. The record is from RefSeq and is a predicted model, not a curated record. Lineage: Eukaryota; Metazoa; Chordata; Mammalia; Carnivora; Hyaenidae.